Molecule: ribosomal RNA, 481 nt
Filed under: uncultured bacterium
Lineage: Bacteria
Description: partial 16S ribosomal RNA
Rfam family: Bacterial small subunit ribosomal RNA
Source: RNAcentral
GAUGAACGCUGGCGGCGUGCUUAACACAUGCAAGUCGAACGAAGCAUUUGCGACAGAUUUUUUCGGAAUGAAGUUGCUUAUGACUGAGUGGCGGACGGGUGAGUAACGCGUGGGUAACCUGCCUUGUACUGGGGGAUAGCAGCUGGAAACGGCUGGUAAUACCGCAUAAGCGCACAAUGUUGCAUGACAUGGUGUGAAAAACUCCGGUGGUAUAAGAUGGACCCGCGUCUGAUUAGCUAGUUGGUGAGAUAACAGCCCACCAAGGCGACGAUCAGUAGCCGACCUGAGAGGGUGACCGGCCACAUUGGGACUGAGACACGGCCCAGACUCCUACGGGAGGCAGCAGUGGGGAAUAUUGCACAAUGGAGGAAACUCUGGUGCAGCGACGCCGCGUGAGUGAAGAAGUAAUUCGUUAUGUAAAGCUCUAUCAGCAGGGAAGAUAGUGACGGUACCUGACUAAGAAGCUCCGGCUAAAUACGUG